CAUUUAACUGAUUGCCCUUAGAAGUUGGCUUCUUACAGAAACACAGCUUCCCUAUCACCAAAUGUCACGGCACGCCACUGUAAUGCACAUAUAUUUUUUAAUUCUUUAAAACAUUUUAUAUAUUUGAUUAUUUAUAAGAAGUUUUCUUCUAGAAAUAGGGUAUCUCAUGGCAAAAUAUGGGCUAGCAUUUGAAACAAUGAAGCAGUUUUCUAAAAUUAAUGGAUCUGAAUCUCUUUAUGAUUUAAUAGUCUUAUUAAGUGGAUGCAAAGAGUUUCAAGAUAUUUUACUUCGCAGUAAUGAAAGAAAAAUUUUAAAUACUUUGAAUAAAAAUAAAACAAAAGCAACAAUUAGAUAUCCUGUCUCAGGAAAGGUAAACACUCCUCAAUUAAAAAUAAAUUGUAUUAUUCAAGCAGCACUUGGAUGUUUAACAAUUUCAGAACCAUCUUUAAAUCAAGAUAUGACAAAAAUAAUGAAGAUAGGUCAAAGAAUUAGUAAAGGUUUAGCUGAAUACUUAUUUAUAGAAAUUAGAGGAUUUAAAGCAUUAUUAAAUGCCAUUACUUUGGCAAAAUGUUUUCAUGCACGACUAUGGGAAAAUUCUAAGUAUGUUUCAAGACAAUUGGAAAAAAUUGGUGCAGCUUUCUCUGAUAUACUAGUGAAUGCUAAUAUAACCAGUUUUCAAGCUAUAGAAGAUACAAAUCCUAGAGAAUUAGAAAUGAUUUUAAACAGAAACCCACCAUUUGGAAGCUAUAUUCAUGAUGCAACAUGUCAUUUACCAAAAUAUGAAAUAUGUAUUGAGCAGGAAUCCAAAACCUUAAAUAAUUACUUGGAUAUAUAUGUUACUGUCAUGUUGAAAAAUUACAAGUUGCUUCAAGAAAAACACACAGCUUCUUCAAAUCACUCCUGUGUAUUAUUAGUAGGUGACUCUGAUGAUAAUUUAAUUUUAAAACAAAGAGUAAUGGACUCGACUCUGAUUAAAAUGGGACAACUGAUGAAAAAAUUUCAAAUUCAAGCAUGUAAAGAGAAUAUGGAACUUAAAGUAUAUGUAAUUAGUGAACAUUAUGAAUUUUCUAUCCCUUUUUAAUCCUUCUUUUGUCAAUGGGGGAUCUGUUCCAAGAAACAUCAGUAACAAUACUGUAGAUAGAACAACAAUGAGCCCAAAGGGGAAGAGAAACUGGUUACUCUUGAGCUUGAUUUUGGAGAGGACACACAAAGGUCCUGAUAGUCUGAGGAGGUAAGAACAAAAGAGUGAAAAAGGUUAAACUUCAGUGAGUACCAUGUGGCUUAACAGGAUAUAAGUUUUAUCAGUACCCUUUUCUGAACAAGAGACUUUCUAUCAUCACAAAGUUGGAUAAGCAACGGAACUAUAUUUGUGAUGAAAGACAGAAAAUGAUAAAGCCAGAAGAUUUCCUUGUGGACUUCAUCUCACAAGUGAGGAACAGUAUCCCCCAACAAAAUUCCAGGUUUAGUGAGUUCCUAAGUUGUGCUUGUGGGGUCUCCCCCCUUUUCUCGGUGUGGACCUACUUUUUUCUGCUCGGGAGCGCAAGUGUGCGCAAGUUUUUUCUACGGUGCUUUCCCUCGUUGUUGGAUUAGAUAAGCAGAUUACUUAUAAACUACAUUCAGGAAAAUUUCAUGAACAGAAAAGUCAUAUAAAUAAAAAGAAUAGUAAUCCUGGAAAUU
Molecule: RNA transcript, 1677 nt
Organism: Centruroides sculpturatus (bark scorpion)
Lineage: Eukaryota; Metazoa; Arthropoda; Arachnida; Scorpiones; Buthidae
Gene name: probable ATP-dependent DNA helicase HFM1
Exons: 13
Source: RefSeq, a predicted model, not a curated record